GUGGGGAAUCUUGCGCAAUGGGCGAAAGCCUGACGCAGCCAUGCCGCGUGAAUGAUGAAGGUCUUCGGAUUGUAAAAUUCUUUCACCGGGGACGAUAAUGACGGUACCCGGAGAAGAAGCUCCGGCUAACUUCGUGCCAGCAGCCGCGGUAAUACGAAGGGGGCUAGCGUUGCUCGGAAUUACUGGGCGUAAAGGGCGCGUAGGCGGACAGCUUAGUCAGAGGUGAAAGCCCAGGGCUCAACCUUGGAAUUGCCUUUGAUACUGGCUGUCUUGAGUUUGGGAGAGGUGAGUGGAACUCCGAGUGUAGAGGUGAAAUUCGUAGAUAUUCGGAAGAACACCAGUGGCGAAGGCGACUCACUGGCCCAAUACUGACGCUGAGGCGCGAAAGCGUGGGGAGCAAACAGGAUUAGAAACCCGUGUAGUCC
This 425-nucleotide ribosomal RNA is filed under the name uncultured bacterium. Its description in RNAcentral is "partial 16S ribosomal RNA". It matches the Rfam family "Bacterial small subunit ribosomal RNA", at positions 354 to 796 of the family's 1533-position model. The record is from RNAcentral.